UACGUAUGGUGCAAGCGUUGUUCGGAAUCACUGGGCGUAAAGAGCGCGCAGGCGGAUUGAUAAGUCAGGUGUGAAAUCUUCGGGCUCAACCCGAAGCCUGCAUUUGAAACUAUUAAUCUGGAGUCUUGGAGAGGCAGGCAGAAUUCCUGGUGUAGCGGUGAAAUGCGUAGAUAUCAGGAGGAAUACCGAUGGCGAAGGCAGCCUGCUGGACAAUGACUGACGCUGAGGCGCGAAAGCGUGGGGAGCAAACAGG
RNAcentral lists this ribosomal RNA (253 nucleotides) under uncultured bacterium. Its description in RNAcentral is "partial 16S ribosomal RNA". It matches the Rfam family "Bacterial small subunit ribosomal RNA", at positions 524 to 776 of the family's 1533-position model. The record is from RNAcentral.